RNAcentral lists this unclassified non-coding RNA (531 nucleotides) under Hevea brasiliensis (rubber tree). The record is from RNAcentral. Lineage: Eukaryota; Viridiplantae; Streptophyta; Magnoliopsida; Malpighiales; Euphorbiaceae.
AAAUAAUUUAAAAAAUUAUCAAAUUUUAUUAAGACAAAUAAUAAAAAGGUAAAAAAAAUUAUGGCGGCAAAUGAUCAAUCCUCCACUAUUAGAAACAUUUCCUCUCUUGUUUAUGAAGGUUUUGAGACACUAUCAAUAAUCUGAAAUUAAAAUAAUAAAAAUUAAAAAAACUAAAAAAAAAAUAAUGGAAGCCCACCGGUAAAAUUACACCAUAGUUUAUAUAAUUUUUAUUAAUUAAAUUGAUUGUGAUCUUAACAGGAAAAAGAGGCCGCCAUCCAAAAAUCAUGAACAAACUUAUCUUAAAAAAGCUUACUUCUACUAGCGUAAGUGAGUUUUCGUUUGGAUUUUGAUGGGAAGAGGAAAUCCAUGGGGACUAUUAUUUUGGUUCGAUUAGAAAAAGAAAACUAAAGUGAAAACAUAAUGUUCUACAGAUUAUCGUGCUAUCCAUUCACCCAAUUCUUUGUUAGAAGAAUCCAUUUGGGAGUUCUCAUCACAUAAUGCCAAACCACAAAAAAAAUCCUAGAAAUUCAU